Molecule: long non-coding RNA, 357 nt
Organism: Thalassophryne amazonica
Lineage: Eukaryota; Metazoa; Chordata; Actinopteri; Batrachoidiformes; Batrachoididae
Exons: 5
Source: RefSeq, a predicted model, not a curated record
GAGAGGGAGAAAACAGAGGAAUGGGAGGUAGACAGGGAGAGGGAGGGGGAUUAUGAGGAAGAAACUGGACAGCCGUAUCCAUAUCCAGCACAUUGUUUUUAUCUAAAGGGACAACCAGGUGAAACUGGAAAACCAGGAUCAAAGGGAGAAAUUGGUGCAAAAAGGACAAAAGGGGGAACCAGGCAUCGGCCACAGAGGACCAGAAGGUCAGGCUGGUCUUCCAGGACAGAAGGGUGAACCGGGUGAGCUGGGUCCCCAGGUGCACAGGGAUCCAGGGUAUCCGUGGUAAUCCAGGCACUCAAGGCUCUCCAGGCAUGAAGGGCUCCCAAGGGGACCCUGGAGAGCCAGGUAAAGAGG